UAUUCUGCCCCACGGGGAAGGAUGAGAAGCUUCGACUAAGGUUCGACUCGAGCGUAGCGAGAGAACGUUGCCGCAAGCAACGGCCCGAAGGGCGAGGCGCGUUAGCGCCGAGUCAUCCUUCCCCCACCAUUC
This 132-nucleotide small RNA is filed under the name Klebsiella quasipneumoniae subsp. quasipneumoniae. Its description in RNAcentral is "RtT sRNA". It matches the Rfam family "RtT RNA". Rfam says of the family: This family represents a bacterial cis-regulatory element known as RtT RNA. The exact function of RtT is unknown although it is thought that it may be involved in changing the cellular response in relation to amino acid starvation. The record is from RNAcentral. Lineage: Bacteria; Pseudomonadati; Pseudomonadota; Gammaproteobacteria; Enterobacterales; Enterobacteriaceae.